CCUACGGGUGGCAGCAGUGAGGAAUAUUGGUCAAUGGCCGGAAGGCUGAACCAGCCAAGCCGCGUGAAGGACGAAGGUGCCAAGAAUUGUAAACUUCUUUUGUCACGGGACAAAAUCAGGCUCGAGAGCCUGACCGCGGGUACUUGAAAAAAAAGCAUCGGCUGACUCCGUGCCCGCCGCCGCGGUAAUACGGAGGAUGCGAGCGUUAUCCGGAUUUCGUGGGUUUUACGGGUGCGUAGGCGGGCUGUUAAGUCAGCGGUAAAAGCCCGGGGCUCAACCCCGGCGAGCCGUUGAAACUGGCUGUCUUGAGAUGUCGAGAGGUAUGCGGAAUGCGCAGUGUAGCGGUGAAGUGCUUAGAUAUUGCGCAGAACUCCGAUUGCGAAGGCAGCAUACCGGCGGCGUUCUGACGCUGAGGCACGAAAGCGUGGGUAUCGAACAGGAUGAGAUACCCGGGUAGUC
RNAcentral lists this ribosomal RNA (459 nucleotides) under uncultured bacterium. Its description in RNAcentral is "partial 16S ribosomal RNA". It matches the Rfam family "Bacterial small subunit ribosomal RNA", at positions 338 to 795 of the family's 1533-position model. The record is from RNAcentral.